RNAcentral lists this ribosomal RNA (252 nucleotides) under uncultured bacterium. RNAcentral's name for it is "partial 16S ribosomal RNA". It matches the Rfam family "Bacterial small subunit ribosomal RNA", at positions 524 to 776 of the family's 1533-position model. The record is from RNAcentral.
UACGUAGGAUGCGAGCGUUAUCCGGAUUUAUUGGGUUUAAAGGGUGCGCAGGCGGCACGGCAAGCCGGCGGUCAAAUCGCGGGGCUCAACCCCGCCCAGCCGUCGGAACUGCCGGGCUAGAGUGGGCGAGAAGUGCGCGGAAUGCGUGGUGUAGCGGUGAAAUGCAUAGAUAUCACGCAGAACUCCGAUUGCGAAGGCAGCACACCGGCGCCCUACUGACGCUCAGGCACGAAAGCGUGGGUAUCGAACAGG